Molecule: ribosomal RNA, 610 nt
Filed under: uncultured Hydnobolites
Lineage: Eukaryota; Fungi; Ascomycota; Pezizomycetes; Pezizales; Pezizaceae
Description: eukaryotic LSU rRNA
Rfam family: 5.8S ribosomal RNA (bases 219-372)
Source: RNAcentral
UCUUGGUCAUUUAGAGGAAGUAAAAGUCGUAACAAGGUUUCCGUAGGUGAACCUGCGGAAGGAUCAUUAUAGAGAGCUACGGCUCCCUGUAUGCUAUUACUACAAUGAUAUUCAAUUCCAUGUUGCUUCCAUCACCUUGACGGUGGUGGGGGGUUUUUUCAUACAAUACUUUUUGCUUAGGCUUUUAAUGUGUCUGAAUAUGAGGGAAAAUGUUACAAAACUUUCAACAACGGAUCUCUUGGCUCCUGCAUCGAUGAAGAACGCAGCGAAAUGCGAUAAUUAAUGUGAAUUGCAGAAUUCCGUGAAUCAUCGAGUCUUUGAACGCACAUUGCGCCUCAUGGUAUUCUGUGAGGCAUGCCCAUCUCAGCGUUAGUAAAUAUUAUCAAAUUUUGGCCUUGUGUCGAAGUUUGGAUUAUGUCAAGGAAGCUAUUACUAUCAAAGUGGAUAGCUCUUUGGAAAUUAAUAGGUCUAGGGGGCUUCUUGAAACGUGAUGAAAAUUACUUCGUUCCCAUGUAGUUUACUUGUAUAGUCCUGAAACUUAUAUAUCUUUAUGGUAUUUUUUGAAUUUGACCUGAGAUUGGGUAGGGAUACCCGCUGAACUUAAGCAUAU